RNAcentral lists this long non-coding RNA (380 nucleotides) under Gossypium raimondii (Peruvian cotton). RNAcentral's name for it is "long non-coding RNA (GRAI_LNC004913)". Lineage: Eukaryota; Viridiplantae; Streptophyta; Magnoliopsida; Malvales; Malvaceae. The record is from RNAcentral.
UUUUUUUGGUAUUGAUUUCGUUUCUUUGUUACAGUAUGCUCCUUUUUUUACAAAUGCUGAAAAUGGCCUUUUUAUGGCCGAAAAAUGACAAAAUCAAAAUAAAAUAAAAAUAAAAAAGGAAAAUUACAGAAAAAUCUCUUAUUCUUUGCUGUCUUUUUCGCUGUUGUUUGCCUUUUGCGUUAUUUGUGUCUGCUGCAGGUAUUCAGCCAGCUAGCGUACGGAGCCAUACGGUGACGUGGCGCUGUACAGUGUGUGUGGCGGUGGCGCACGUGAGAGGGCAGGGGCUGAUGGGGUUUACUUGCUGCGGCGGCUGGGGCUAUUUUAGAAACUGCUAGGGUUUCUACUUUGGGCUAAUUUGGGUUGAGGUUAGGUUAGUGGGU